RNAcentral lists this long non-coding RNA (366 nucleotides) under Medicago truncatula (barrel medic). RNAcentral describes it as "long non-coding RNA (MTRU_LNC000901)". Lineage: Eukaryota; Viridiplantae; Streptophyta; Magnoliopsida; Fabales; Fabaceae. The record is from RNAcentral.
AAAUUGUAUGACGUUUUGGGCAUUUCACACAUAUUAAGAAAUGCAAUUAAUAUUGUGUGGAAAUGAGAUAUUAUGAGUUGUUUUACAAAAUUGUCCUUAAUAAAUAAUAUGGGAAAGAUAAAUGAAAUAAUUGAAAGAAGAUGGAGUAAUAAAUAGUUAAGGUUAUAAUAGGAAAAGUAACAUUAAUGUUGCAUUGGUAUUGUAAAGCGACCUAUAAUUUGGGACAAAUCUUUUCUCCUAAAGCGACAUACAAUUUGGGACGGAGGGAAUAUAUUUUAUAAAAGUCAAUGCCAAUGUAUCAUAUUCUAUGCAAAUUCUGUAUUGACUUUAUAAAAAUUAAUCAACAAUAGAAAAUGUAUUCACUAG